GACGAACGCUGGCGGCGUGCUUAACACAUGCAAGUCGAACGGAAAGACCCUGCUUUUGUUGGGUGCUCGAGUGGCGAACGGGUGAGUAACACGUGAGUAACCUGCCCUUGACUGUGGGAUAACUUCAGGAAACUGGGGCUAAUACCGGAUAGGAUCUCCUGCUGCAUGGUGGUGGUUGGAAAGUUUCGGCGGUUGGGGAUGGACUCGCGGCUUAUCAGCUUGUUGGUGGGGUAGUGGCUUACCAAGGCUUUGACGGCUAGCCGGCCUGAGAGGGUGACCGGCCACCUUGGGACUGAGAUACGGCCCAGACUCCUACGGGAGGCAGCAGUGGGGAAUAUUGCACAAUGGGCGGACGCCUGAUGCAGCAACGCCGCGUGCGGGAUGACGGCCUUCGGGUUGUAAACCGCUUUCGCAUGUGACGAAGCGUGAGUGACGGUAAUGGGUAAAGAAGCACCGGCUAACUACGUG
RNAcentral lists this ribosomal RNA (468 nucleotides) under uncultured bacterium. Its description in RNAcentral is "partial 16S ribosomal RNA". It matches the Rfam family "Bacterial small subunit ribosomal RNA", at positions 28 to 507 of the family's 1533-position model. The record is from RNAcentral.